AACGAACGCUGGCGGCGCGUCUUAAACAUGCAAGUCGAACGGCAGGAAGGGGCUUGCCCCUUCUGAGAGUGGCGGACUGGUGAGUAACACGUGGGUGACAUACCUUUUAGUUGGGGAUAGCUAUUAGAAAUAGUAGGUAAUACCGAAUGUGACCGUACCUGUUAGAGGGGUACGAGGAAAGGAGCUAAGGCUUCGCUAAAAGAAUGGCUCGCGGCCCAUUAUGCUCGUUGGUGAGGUAACGGCCCACCAAGGCGAUGAUGGGUAUCCGGCCUGAGAGGGUGAACGGACACAUUGGGACUGAGAUACGGCCCAGACUUCUACGGGAGGCAGCAGUUAAGAAUAUUCCGCAAUGGACGAAAGUCUGACGGAGCGACGCCGCGUGGAUGAAGAAUGCCGAAAGGUUGUAAAAUCCUUUUAAGCCUGAUGAAUAAGCACAUUAGGGAAUGAUUGUGCGGUGACCGUAGGGCUUGAAUAAGCACCGGCUAAUUACGUG
This 493-nucleotide ribosomal RNA is filed under the name uncultured bacterium. RNAcentral's name for it is "partial 16S ribosomal RNA". It matches the Rfam family "Bacterial small subunit ribosomal RNA", at positions 29 to 507 of the family's 1533-position model. The record is from RNAcentral.